UCAAAGAAGAAUUUAGCAGAUACAAUGGAACAUGACUAUCGUCCCAGGAGUCCUGGGCUAUGGAGAACUAUGCUGAUCAGGUGUCUACACUAAAUUCAGCAUCAAUAUGGUGACCUCGUGGAAAGCUGGAGGACCACCAGUUUGUCUCAGGAGGCGUGAAAUGGUCUGGCUUGGAAAUGGAGCGGAACAAAACUCCCAUACUGAUCAGUAGUGGGAUUGUGCUUGUGGAUAGCAACAGCAAAUCCAGGCGAUGUAGCAAGACCUCAU
This 267-nucleotide signal recognition particle RNA is filed under the name Cebus imitator (Panamanian white-faced capuchin). RNAcentral's name for it is "Metazoan signal recognition particle RNA (ENSCCAG00000005503.1)". The stretch from base 47 to 249 matches the Rfam family "Metazoan signal recognition particle RNA", at positions 72 to 270 of the family's 299-position model. From Rfam's summary of the family: The signal recognition particle (SRP) is a universally conserved ribonucleoprotein. It is involved in the co-translational targeting of proteins to membranes. Lineage: Eukaryota; Metazoa; Chordata; Mammalia; Primates; Cebidae. The record is from RNAcentral.